Molecule: ribosomal RNA, 220 nt
Filed under: uncultured bacterium
Lineage: Bacteria
Description: partial 16S ribosomal RNA
Rfam family: Bacterial small subunit ribosomal RNA
Source: RNAcentral
GGUACUCAGUUCGGAUCGCAGUCUGCAACUCGACNGCGUGAAGGUGGAGUCGCUAGUAAUCGCGGAUCAGCAACGCCGCGGUGAAUGCGUUCCCGGGCCUUGUACACACCGCCCGUCAAGUCAUGAAAGUGGGCAGCACCCGAAGACGGUGGCCUAACCCUUGUGGGGGGAGCCGUCUAAGGUGAGGCUCGUGAUUGGGACUAAGUCGUAACAAGGUACC